GAGAAUGUUGAGAUUAACAAUGCAUGUCAACUCCUCAGCAUCAACUGAAUCACUCCCACGAUAAUGUCCGAAAUAAUCCACUCUCCCACCAUAAUGUCUGAAAUACUCCACUCAUCAUUCUCUCUUUUUCUCUGUCUCCAAGCCAGAGUCUACAAACAUCAAAGCAAACACAUUUCAGUAUUUCAGUCUCUCUAUUACAAAGACUUUCUCUCUCCAAAAUUUGAUGAUAGGCACUAUCUUUUUCAGAUCAAGAUUAACUAAGUUUAUUUACCAGUCAUCCACAACGGUCCAAAUUAACUAGAUCAAAUUCUGUUCUUGACCAUCUCAAAUUUAUCACUCUCAAAGUGAAUCAAAAACAGAGUAAAUUAUAAAUUUAAGAAAGAAGACCCCUACAUACCCAAAAGAAAUCUUAAAACUUAAAAAAUCUAAAGGGGGAGAUAUAACAAAUUUCAAUCUGAUAAAAAAUCAAGUACACCCACAUUGUCAAACAAAAAAAAAUCAGCUAAAACCAAGCCACAAAUCAAAUUCAAAUAAUUUACGAUCAAAAGAAAAUCACAAAUAAAGAAAUAAAUUGAAAGGAUAAGACUCAACGCCAUCAGAAGAAGAAGAAGGUUCAUUGGAUUGUUCAUCUCCACUGCCCUUUCGGCUUUGGAGAACCUCUUGAAGUGUAGAUCUGGUAAAGAAAAAUUUAGAUCAAUUGCGAAAUUUGUUUAAAG
Molecule: long non-coding RNA, 716 nt
Filed under: Panax ginseng (ginseng)
Lineage: Eukaryota; Viridiplantae; Streptophyta; Magnoliopsida; Apiales; Araliaceae
Description: long non-coding RNA (PGIN_LNC003650)
Source: RNAcentral